AAGGGGCUUCUCCUAGAAAGGCUGUGAGGGAGCAAACAGACGCAGGGGCCAGUGAAAGGGAGUGAAAAAAAGAAAGGGGCACAAUGACGGGUUACGAAGAAGAUGAUUUUAUCAAUUCGGCAAAACUGAUGGAAUAUUCUCCCUACGUACUACAGAGCAGCUGGGACAAAACGCGCAUGGGUUUUCCAAAGGACUACGACAUAAAACAGCCGGCAACAUAAGUGUGCACCGGUCGGCGUACAAACGUUUAGGCACGGAUGAUUUGGAAUUUCCCAAGACUUCUUAUCAAGAACAGUGCCAACAACUGGCUCUGAAACCAUUCUGUGAGCAGCUGAGUAGACCUGCACCCAUGAUGAACGAAAGCUCAUUUGCAUACCUCCCCUGGCAGAGAGACACUGGUGCUCCUGAAGAAGGCUUUGGGUCUCUCCUGCCUCAUCACUCUAAACCUCACCCAAAGAAUUACUUCCAGACAUUUUACAAUAUCAACUACACACCUCCGUUUUCUUAUGACCCACAACCGUCUAAAACUAACCUCGAGUAUUUAACGGAACAUCGUAAGUGUCACUCACAGUUCACUGACACGGCUGACUACCGUCGCCACAAUUUGAACACCUGGCAAAAUGACUCCGGAAUCUAUGCAAAGCCACGGAAACCUAAAGAGAAGACACUUGAAGGCUUCAUGUAGUGGUGUGAAUCCUUCUCCAACGAUGAGCUAAACUGCAACAUUCAGGGACGAUGGAGUGUUGCUGUGUGUCUAUUUUGUUUUAUGGUAGUCAAAAGAGCAUUUUUUGGUUUUUGGUUAAAUAAAAUCCUUUAUAUACCUU
Long non-coding RNA from Octopus sinensis (East Asian common octopus), 824 nucleotides. RefSeq lists it as uncharacterized. The record is from RefSeq and is a predicted model, not a curated record. NCBI's taxonomy places the organism in Eukaryota, Metazoa, Mollusca, Cephalopoda, Octopoda, Octopodidae. The transcript has 5 exons.